UAAACAUUUAUAAGAGCGUUUAGAAAGUGCAGUUCAAAUUUCGCAACACUACGCAAAUUGUGUCGUUUCCCAUUUUGCCUCGCGCUCACUCACUCUGCUGAUUCCCCUCCCUCUCACCGCACUCUCUCCCCAAAUCCCUAGCUCCCUCUCGCCGGCGCCGCUCUCCCUCACGCCGGCGCCGCUCCCUAGCUCGCCCGCGUCGGCGUCGCCCCUUCUCCCUUUCUCCUGCGCUGCCUUCUCCCUCUCGCCGGCGUCUCCUGCGCCACCUUCUCCCGCUCGAGGCAAAGUUGCCCUUUUUACCAAGGUCGAGGAGGAGCGGGAGGACAGCCUUGUCCUGCUCGACGGCGGUGACGGAUUUCUUCUGCUUGACGACGCCGGCGACGAACACCGGCGCUCCUCGUCGCCCUCGACCUGCAAGGAGGAGCGCCUACCCCAUGUUGAGCCGCAGAUUUGCUGGAGCAAGGAGUGCGUGAAGAAGCCCCUGCAGCGGCAGAAGUAGGGGCGGGGGAGUGAGUCGGACGCCGGGGUCGUCCAUGGCGUCAUCGAAGCAGAGCAGCGGUGUGUCCUUGUUCAGGCUGCGGCAGCUCCUCCAUGCGCCCCUCCAUCUUCCUCUGCUGCGUCGACGGUGGACUGUGUCUGCAGGUGGAGUACUUGCUUGAGGUCCAGGUUCAUCCUCUUCUGGUGGAGAACAAUUCAGACGCGUACGAUUCGCUUGAUUCGGGUGGGAACAUUACAAUCAAGUGGGCACUGGAAUGGUCAUAUGUGGUGUUAAUGGCCUGAAGAUUUUAUCAGAUUAUCCACCAUUCAUCCUGCAACCGGACUGGCAAAUACUGCUGAAUAUGUUCAGAAGCAGAAAUUGGAACAAAGGAAAACAUCAUAUGCUCCGACCAGAUUAAUUUCCAACUUAGCUACUCCCUCCGUUCCCAAAUAAUUGUCUUUCUAGCCAUCUCAAAUGGACUACAACAUACGGAUGUAUGUAGACAUGUUUUAGAGUGUAGAUUCACUCAUUUUGCUCCGUAUGUAGUCACUUGUUGAAAUCUCUAGAAAGACAACUAUUUAGGAACGGAGGGAGUAGAUGCCUAGUUAUGGGAAUCGACCAGAUUAAUUUCCAACUCAGCAAGAUCGUUGCUAUGGAGAUAGAGGAGUCGUAGGUUGGGCAUCGCCCCCUCCUCAAAUCCCAGGAGUACUCUAUGGAUUACAGAAGAAUUGAUUUGGGUGAGGGAAGGAGAACCUGCCUGGAAGCAACGUGCUGCAGCGGCGGGGGCGAGCUAGGUGGGCUGUGCGCGGCGAGGACCAAUCUGGGGCGGCGACGACCAAGCUGGGCGGGGCGGCUACCAAGCGGGCACAACGGCGGCCAAGCUGGGCGGGCGCGGCAGCAACCAAGCGGGCGCAGCGGAGGCCGAACUGGGCACCUAGGAUCGGGACCGAGCGCCUGGACGAAGGGGGCGAGUACCUGCAGGCGGGGCCCGAGCGCUUGGACGAAGGGGAUGACGCGAGCUCCUGCAGGAGGAAGAUGGCACGCUGGAGAAGGAAGACGGGCGAGCUCCUGUAGGAAGAAGACGACGCGAGCUUUGGAGGAGGAAGACGACUCAAAUUUCAAAUCGAGGGUAAAACUGUCCAUUUCCCCAUUUGUCGGCUGUGUCCUAAAAUUCUAAACGCUCUUAUAAAAGUUUACAGAGGGAGUAUAUACACUAGUAGAAAACAGGGCUUUGGUCCAAGGCCAGAUAAGGGCAUUAAUCCCGGUUCUCUUAUGA
Long non-coding RNA from Triticum aestivum (bread wheat), 1754 nucleotides. RefSeq lists it as uncharacterized. NCBI's taxonomy places the organism in Eukaryota, Viridiplantae, Streptophyta, Magnoliopsida, Poales, Poaceae. The record is from RefSeq and is a predicted model, not a curated record. The transcript has 6 exons.